CUCCCGGACUGUGCCUCCCAGGAGCGAGAGGGGGACGAGGGUCAUUAAACUCUGUGUCUCCCGUUCCCCAAACACGUCCUGAAGGAAUCGCGGCUGGAAAAAAAGAAGAGCAGCGACUUAUGUUUUAAUUCCUGUGGGGCAUGGUUAGGGAGCAGAGAAGGGCUGUCCUCCUCAUAGACUUUAAGGUCAGAACAGAAGGGAUCAUCCUGCCGCCUUCACAUCACAGGCCACAGAACCUCCCCCACCCACUCCUGUAACAGACCCUGAACCUCUGGCAGAGUCACUGAAUUCCUCAAGUCAUGAGUUCAAGUCACAGAGAAUCCACCACUUCUACUAGUUUAAACCUGCAAGUGAUCCAUGCCCCAUGCUGCAGAGGAAGGUGAAAAAGCUCCAAAGACUCUGCCAAUCUGACCAGGAGGGAAUUCCUUCCCAACCCCCCUAUUUAACCUGUUACUGUUACACCCCUGAGAAUCCUCCCUGCGUUUUCACCCUGUCAUAAACAGAUGGUUAAGGGUUAAUGCCUCUUUUACUUGUAAAGGGUUAAGAAGCUCAGUAAACCUGGCUGACACCUGACCAGAGGACCAAUAGGGGACAAGAUACUUUCAAAUCUUAGUGGGGGGAAGUCUUUUGUUUGUGCUCUUUGUUUUGGGGGUUGUUCGCUCUUGGGACUAAGAGGGACCAGACAUCAAUCCAGGCUCCCCAAAUCUUUCUGAACCAGUCUCUCAUUUUUCAAACUUAUCCCAGAGACAUGAUGUCAUCACAGCCCAAACUUCCCUACUAUGUGCAUUUGGUUUCCCAUACACAGCGACUUGUGCAACCAUGGUGACUGAACAAUGUCUAUCUGCACAGGAGCACUCAACAAACCUGCUCUGGUCCCAGCACAGGGCGGACAGGCCUGGAGCAAGGAAUGGAAGGCAGGUCCUGAACCAGGAUGUUGCCAGGUUCUGUUUUGGGAAUGGGAGCUGCACAGCAGCAGGAGAGAAGCCCCAGACUCUGUGGACAGAGACGUGUGUGGAACAGUCAGACUGCCAGAUGAUACACCUGUGUGCAGGUCUGUAUGGUACUCAUGGAGGAACAGCAGCUGGGCAGGAACCCAGGGCACUGGAGCCCCAGUAAGAGCCACUAACUGAGCUUGACUUGGAACCCUGCAAACACCUAUUUGACUGGAACAGAGACUGGACUCUAGGGGGCACCCCACAGGCAUUAAGUUGGAGUCAUGAAUCAGCAUUCAUGAUGCACUCCCCGUCAGUACCCAGCCCAAGCCAGGGAAGCUAAUGAUCCAAUCAGUGGCCCAAACUGAUGAUGAGUGCUGGUCAUGGGCCACCUGAGACAUGUUGUGCAUAUGCUAAGAAGAAGAUAGAAAUGUGGGGUUGGAGCCAACCUCAAACAGUCAUCUAGUCCAACCCCUUGUGCUGAGGCAGGACCAAGUAAACUUAGACCAGCCCUGACAGGUGUUUGUCCAACCUGCUCUUCAAAGCCUCCAGUGAUGGAGAUUCUACAACCUCCCUUGGAAGCCUGAUCUGGAGCUUAACUACCCUUAUAGUUAGAAAGUUUUUCCUAAUAUCUACCAUAAAUCUCCCUGGCUGCAGAUUAAGCCCAUUAUUUCUUGUCCUAUCUCCAGUGAACAUGGAGAACAAUUGAUCAUCAUCCUCUUUAUAACAGCUCUUAACAUAAUUGAAGCCUGUGAUCAGAUCCCCCCCCCACACACACACACACACUCUCUCUCUCUCCUUUUCUCAGGACUAAACAUACAUUGUUUAACCUUUCCCCAUAGGUCAGUUUUUCUAAACCUUUUAUCACUUUUGUUGCUCUCCUGUGGAGUCAUUCCAACUUGUCCACUUCUUUCUUAAUGUUUGGGGCCCAGAACUGGACACAGUGCUCCAGCUGAGGCCUCAACAGUGCUGAGCAGAGAAAGUGAACUAACAUAAACUAACUGCUGCACACAAUUACCUCGUGUGUCUUACUGUCAUACUGAUGAGUCUUGACGCCUGACUGGACAGCCCCAGGGCCCAAACAAGACCCGCUACCAGACACUUUGCAUUCUAAUGGCCCAAGUCUCUAUAGAUAGCGUAUCUGCAAACUUUCCUGCCAGCCCUAGAAACAUACCCU
Gopherus flavomarginatus (Mexican gopher tortoise) is the source of this 2109-nucleotide long non-coding RNA. RefSeq lists it as uncharacterized. The record is from RefSeq and is a predicted model, not a curated record. Lineage: Eukaryota; Metazoa; Chordata; Testudines; Testudinidae. The transcript is spliced from 3 exons.